AACGAACGCUGGCGGCAUGCCUAGCACAUGCAAGUCGAACGAAGCCUUCGGGCUUAGUGGCGCACGGGUGCGUAACACGUGGGAAUCUGCCCUUCGGUUCGGAAUAACAGUUAGAAAUGACUGCUAAUACCGGAUGAUGACGAAAGUCCAAAGAUUUAUCGCCGAAGGAUGAGCCCGCGUAGGAUUAGGUAGUUGGUAGGGUAAUGGCCUACCAAGCCGACGAUCCUUAGCUGGUCUGAGAGGAUGAUCAGCCACACUGGGACUGAGACACGGCCCAGACUCCUACGGAGGCAGCAGUGGGGAAUAUUGGACAAUGGGCGAAAGCCUGAUCCAGCAAUGCCGCGUGAGUGAUGAAGGCCUUAGGGUUGUAAAGCUCUUUUACCAGGGAUGAUAAUGACAGUACCUGGAGAAUAAGCUCCGGCUAACUCCGUGCCAGCCGCCGCAGUAA
Molecule: ribosomal RNA, 448 nt
Filed under: uncultured bacterium
Lineage: Bacteria
Description: partial 16S ribosomal RNA
Rfam family: Bacterial small subunit ribosomal RNA
Source: RNAcentral